RNAcentral lists this transfer RNA (75 nucleotides) under Elusimicrobiota bacterium. Its description in RNAcentral is "tRNA-Cys". It matches the Rfam family "tRNA". From Rfam's summary of the family: Transfer RNA (tRNA) molecules are approximately 80 nucleotides in length. Their secondary structure includes four short double-helical elements and three loops (D, anti-codon, and T loops). Lineage: Bacteria; Pseudomonadati; Elusimicrobiota. The record is from RNAcentral.
GGCGCGAUGGCCAAGUGGUAAGGCGGCAGUCUGCAAAACUGCUAUUCGUGGGUUCGAUUCCCGCUCGCGCCUCCA